Molecule: small RNA, 27 nt
Filed under: Bombyx mori (domestic silkworm)
Lineage: Eukaryota; Metazoa; Arthropoda; Insecta; Lepidoptera; Bombycidae
Description: piRNA piR-bmo-1744946
Source: RNAcentral
UAUAAUGAGGUAUUAUGUGGUUGAAUG